This is a long non-coding RNA of Pygocentrus nattereri (red-bellied piranha), 327 nucleotides long. RefSeq lists it as uncharacterized. Lineage: Eukaryota; Metazoa; Chordata; Actinopteri; Characiformes; Serrasalmidae. The record is from RefSeq and is a predicted model, not a curated record. The transcript has 3 exons.
UGUUCAGAUGCUCCUGAGACCAGCCCCUUCUCUUCAGAUGGUCCUGAGGCUAGCCCCAGCUUUUCAGCUCCUCCUGAGCCCCGCAGCAGCUCUUUAGAUGAACUCAAUCCAAUUCUCUCCCCUGUUACAUCUGGAAAUGAGAAUUCCACAGACAAGUACCCCUGCAAGAAAAGAACACAAGAAGUAACACCAAAUGUGUCCAGCUCGACAUUUAAUCGUACUUUUCCCUGCAAGAAAAGAAGAAUAAAGAUCAACCCAAGUGAAUGCCCUGUCCACACUAUGGCUGACACCUACCCAGUCCAAAAAAUUUUAUCACAGAGGGUAUCA